Molecule: long non-coding RNA, 1607 nt
Organism: Cyprinus carpio carpio
Lineage: Eukaryota; Metazoa; Chordata; Actinopteri; Cypriniformes; Cyprinidae
Source: Ensembl
AUUUUAAUAGCAUUUUACAAUAUUUUAAUCAUGAUACCUAUUCUAAAAUCUAAAGGUAUAUGUUCUCAUCAUUAACAACAAUAAAACUAAAUACAUUUAGCUGCUUUAUCACACUGAAACAAUUCCUACUGGUUGUUUUACUUUAUUGCUUUGAUCAUGAUUGGUUAAUCUGGCUGUCAUCCAGGAAACUGGACAGUGAAUCGGUUCGCGCCUUUCUACAUUUGAAAAUAUGACCGUUAUUAUCGUUCUUUCUGUGAGUGAGGCGGCUGACUGUGAGCUGCUGCUGUAACUGCUCGGUCGGUCCCGAAUUAUUUUAUAUUUGCCUGUUAAUUAUUUUUUUUUUGAGCGAAUUUGAGUCGUGACAUGUCAAUGGAGAACAAAAACUGUAAUGUGAACACAAGAAGUGUCAGAUGUGUUCUGCGAGGUCCUGCAAACAUACUGGCAAACUGAGAGAUUUUUCCACAUUUUCCUGAUAUGAAUCCCAUGGAUUAGAGUCAUCAAGGAUCCAGCUUUUUAUUGAAACAUUGGACAGUACAGAAAGCACACAAGUGGGAGAGAGUGGAGGGGACGGCAUCAGAAAGGACCUAGGGCUGGGACUCUUUCAAGGAUCACCUGAAGCACAACCACACUAUAUGCACGAGGCUGUUGGUUCUAACAUUUUAGGUUCACCUUCGGUGGAAAUCACAUUCCGCGUUCCCUGCGGUAAAAAAAGACACAGUCCGGGGGUUCCCGUUAGAAAUGCCCCCCGGGGUGCCCCCUCUAACGCUGGUUCCUUGGAAUUAUCCUAACCUUCCCUGCCCUUACAGCGUCCCUGGUUGCCGGUUCCAUUCUCGAACUGUUCAACACAUUUUCACUGCACAAAUGUACACAUCUCUUGUAAUGAGACACAUUACUAAAACAUGUUUUUUACAGAAACUGUAGUUUUCCACCAAAAUAAAAGAUCAGCUGGUUUCAGUCAUAAAGGUACAAGGGUUUCUCUUGCAAGUGCCACACAAAAUAUGCAUUUAUAUGCAAAAAUAUGGCAAAUUAUUUUACAAAAACCUUUAAAUAUUAUUGUAUUUGAAUUGUUCUUCUACGUGUUUUUAACAAUACAUCCAUACAUACUCUGCAAAAUAAAGUUUGGGAUUAUUUUCAUCUGUUUUAUACAGUACGUUUCCAAAAUAAAACUGCUGUUUUACAAUUCUGAGCAUGUGGUAGUUUAUUGAAGUUGAUUGUAAAGCCAUUGCUGCCAGUCAUUUGAUUUUUAGCCUUUAUAAUGUACAGUGUUGAUCUAAAUGCAAACUAGGCUCUAAUUGAACAUACAGUUGUGUAUCUAUACAUGGUGCAAGGUACGACGGUGAAACAACGUCGUGUUAUCAACGUUGAUUCACUUUUCAAAAUCAACACCUAAUUCAACGUUAAGCCAACGUCUACAGAACGACCAUAAUUCACCCAUGAUGAAGGUAAGACGGUUGAAACGGCGUCGCGAUUUCAACAGUGAAUCAAUGUCGUAAUUUCAACGGUGAAUCAACGUCACAAUAUCAACGUUGAUCCAAUUUGCAAAAUCGAAAGGUAAUUCAACGUUGAUUCAACCCUGGUACCUGACGUUGUUUCAACGUUGAAAUGCC